UCGGGCGCUGACGAGUGGCGGACGGGUGAGUAACGCGUAGGAAUCUGCCUUAUAGUGGGGGACAACUUAGGGAAACUUAAGCUAAUACCGCAUACGCCCUACGGGGGAAAGCAGGGGAUCUUCGGACCUUGCACUAUUGGAUGAGCCUAUGUCUGAUUAGCUAGUUGGUAGGGUAAUGGCCUACCAAGGCGACGAUCAGUAGCUGGUCUGAGAGGACGAUCAGCCACACUGGGACUGAGAUACGGCCCAGACUCC
RNAcentral lists this ribosomal RNA (255 nucleotides) under uncultured bacterium. RNAcentral's name for it is "partial 16S ribosomal RNA". It matches the Rfam family "Bacterial small subunit ribosomal RNA", at positions 80 to 339 of the family's 1533-position model. The record is from RNAcentral.